Long non-coding RNA from Leopardus geoffroyi (Geoffroy's cat), 730 nucleotides. RefSeq lists it as uncharacterized. Lineage: Eukaryota; Metazoa; Chordata; Mammalia; Carnivora; Felidae. The record is from RefSeq and is a predicted model, not a curated record. The transcript is spliced from 3 exons.
AAAUCAUUGCCAGCAGACCUUCACUUCAAGAAAUGUUAAAGGAAAUUCUUCAUUCAGCAGGAACAUGAGACCAGAUGGAAAUCUGAAUUUAUACAAAGAAAUGAAAAGUGCCAGAAAAAAUAAAAUAAAGGUAAAGGUUUUCUGCUACAAAUCAGAUUUCCUGAUAGAGGUGUACUGAUAUAGAGUGGAAAAGGCAAAGGAAUCUCCUGAUAGAAGAGUAGAAUCCAAAAAUAAUCUGAGAGCAAUUGAAGGUCAUGGUGAGGAACAUGAACGUUGAAAUGGAGGAAACAUGGGUUUGAUUGCCAAUUCUACCCCUCUCAAGUUCUUUGGUUUGGGGUAAAUGAGUCAACCUUACUAGAUUCGGUUCAAUGGAACUAACAUGAAAUCAUUUGCUAUUGAACAUCUAUCUCUACAGAGCACCAUUCUAGGUGUUAGAAGUUCCCCAAUGAACAAGACAGAGAAGUUACAGGAUAUCAUGGAGCUUAAAUUGUUUAGUUUGUCAGAGGAGGGAAAACAAUAACAAGUAGGCAAAUUAGAAAGAUAAUUUUAUAUAUUUAUAUUAUAGGUGGUAAGAAAUAAAAGUAAAUAAUAUGUUAGAGAGAUCCUGGGUCCUUCUUUAGAUGGAAAUUAUGGAAAGCCUCUCUGAGAAGGAGAUAUCUGAGGUGAAACAGAAGGAAAACUGUCCUAUGUGAAAAUCAAGAGGGGGCGCCUGGGUGGCUCAAUCCGUUAA